AUGGAGCAGCUCUUUUUUCUUCUCAUUCCCCUGUUUGCAUCUUCAUCCAUAAUCUCAGCAGGAAAUGACACAAACAUAUCAACUACAGUACCUCCAAACACAACUGCUACGUCUCCAUUGUCUGUUGUUUCAAGAGCAGAAGUCCAAAAAAAUGUGACUUCGUCAUCUCAACAUGAGAAUGGCAUGACCACUCACCCCUCAAAAAAUGUGAGCACAACCACAGCUCCUGUGUCUUCUAGCCACACAGGACAGUCCAUCAUCACCAGCUCAACGUUAACCACACUAAAAUCCAACGCUGACUCAACUCUAAAUUCCACCUCAUCCCCAGUGACCAAAAUAACAGGCAGUACUGAUGGAUCCGGCCUCUCUUCACAUAAAACAACAGUGGGUGUUACUCCAAAGACUUUAAAUACUGCUAAUUCAAACAUCAGCAUGUCAGAGGUGACGGCAACACCUUCACAGGCACCAGACAGCGGUCUCACUUUGCUCGCCUUUGGUGUGAUGAGUUUCAUACUCAUUUUAAUUGUUGUCAUGGGGGUCUUGGUGACUGCUAUCAACCUCAGGGGACGGUGUAGAAAUACUAAACAGCACGAGAGUAUUAAAAGCUGUGAUCCUGUGGUGUCUGACAGCAGCACAACCAGCAACUUUGAGAAAGAGAGCAUCACUCUUGUCUCUGUGAGGACUAUAAACACAGAAAACAAUACAGAUUCUCCUCAGAUGUCUUCAGUUCGUAGCACUAUAGUGGAUAAUGAUGACCAAGAAUUUACCAGAGACCUACUGGGCAUCAAAGACGGACUGUGAUUUUACUCAGUUCGUAGUGCACAAGAUUGGAGGCUACAUACUCUAUUUAUAAUACAAACCCGAUUCCAAAAAAGUUGGGACACUGUACAAAUUGUGAAUAAAUACAGAAUGCAAUGAUGUGGAAGUUUCA
Long non-coding RNA from Cyprinus carpio (common carp), 931 nucleotides. NCBI's taxonomy places the organism in Eukaryota, Metazoa, Chordata, Actinopteri, Cypriniformes, Cyprinidae. The record is from Ensembl.